UACGUAGGGUGCGAGCGUUAAUCGGAAUUACUGGGCGUAAAGCGUGCGCAGGCGGUUCGUUAAGACAGAUGUGAAAUCCCCGGGCUUAACCUGGGAACUGCAUUUGUGACUGGCGAGCUAGAGUAUGGCAGAGGGGGGUAGAAUUCCACGUGUAGCAGUGAAAUGCGUAGAGAUGUGGAGGAAUACCGAUGGCGAAGGCAGCCCCCUGGGCCAAUACUGACGCCCAUGCACGAAAGCGUGGGGAGCAAACAGG
This 253-nucleotide ribosomal RNA is filed under the name uncultured bacterium. RNAcentral describes it as "partial 16S ribosomal RNA". It matches the Rfam family "Bacterial small subunit ribosomal RNA", at positions 524 to 776 of the family's 1533-position model. The record is from RNAcentral.